AAAGUCUUAAGUUAAAAGAAUAAACUAGUAGCCUUCAAAGUUAAAAUUAAGAAUUUAGACUUUGCCUAAAUUUUU
Molecule: transfer RNA, 75 nt
Filed under: Bactericera cockerelli (potato/tomato psyllid)
Lineage: Eukaryota; Metazoa; Arthropoda; Insecta; Hemiptera; Triozidae
Description: tRNA-Trp
Source: RNAcentral